This 484-nucleotide ribosomal RNA is filed under the name uncultured Bacteroidales bacterium. RNAcentral describes it as "bacterial SSU rRNA". It matches the Rfam family "Bacterial small subunit ribosomal RNA", at positions 28 to 505 of the family's 1533-position model. Lineage: Bacteria; Pseudomonadati; Bacteroidota; Bacteroidia; Bacteroidales. The record is from RNAcentral.
GAUGAACGCUAGCGGGAGGCCUAACACAUGCAAGUCGAGGGGUAACGGAAGUAGCUUGCUACUAGACGACGACCGGCGCACGGGUGAGUAACGCGUAUGUAAUCUGCCUUGUACAGAGGGAUAGCCCAGAGAAAUUUGGAUUAAUACCUCAUAGUAUUACUGAGUCGCAUGAUUUGGUAAUUAAAGCUCCGGCGGUACAAGAUGAACAUGCGUGACAUUAGCUAGUUGGUAAGGUAACGGCUUACCAAGGCCACGAUGUCUAGGGGUUCUGAGAGGAUGAUCCCCCACACUGGUACUGAGACACGGACCAGACUCCUACGGGAGGCAGCAGUGAGGAAUAUUGGUCAAUGGACGCAAGUCUGAACCAGCCAUCCCGCGUGAAGGAUGACUGCCCUAUGGGUUGUAAACUUCUUUUAUAUGCAAAUAAACCUACUUUCGUGAAAGUAGCUGAAGGUAGCAUAUGAAUAAACACCGGCUAACUCCG